UACGUAGGGUCCAAGCGUUAUCCGGAAUCACUGGGCGUAAAGCGUGCGUAGGUGGAUGCUUAAGUGAGAUGUGAAAGCGUGUGGCUCAACCAUAUCGUUGUAUCUCAUACUGGGUAUCUAGAGGACGGCAGAGGCAAGUGGAAUUUCUCGUGUAGCGGUAAAAAUGCGUAGAUAUGAGAAGGAACACCAAUGGCGAAGGCAGCUUGCUGGGCCGCCCCUGACACUGAGGUACGAAAGCGUGGGGAGCGAACAGG
This 254-nucleotide ribosomal RNA is filed under the name uncultured bacterium. Its description in RNAcentral is "partial 16S ribosomal RNA". It matches the Rfam family "Bacterial small subunit ribosomal RNA", at positions 524 to 776 of the family's 1533-position model. The record is from RNAcentral.